This 1376-nucleotide small RNA is filed under the name Arabidopsis thaliana (thale cress). RNAcentral describes it as "ATSL119140". The record is from RNAcentral. Lineage: Eukaryota; Viridiplantae; Streptophyta; Magnoliopsida; Brassicales; Brassicaceae.
ACUUGUUCAGAUACAUUCAAACCAACUAUCAUCAGAGUCACUGAUAUACCAAAAACUAUUACGGAAUACUACUAAUUAAUCAAUAUCAGUAUAAUCAUCAGGUCUCGAGGGCUCUCGCAGAGCUCAUCAACUUCAAAUUAACCCAUACUCCUAAUUUCCGAAAGCAUCUGUCUAAGUUUCUUCAGUUGCAGGGUGAAAUCAUUCCGAUUAUCAAUCUUCUAAAGCUUUGUCAACUUAUUGACAUCUCAACGAAAGAAGCUUUGUCUCAACAAUGUCAACGCGUCUUUCCUCUCAUCUGGUUCAGGCGCAAAGCAGGUCAUGAGAAAGAGUUUUGCAUCACAAGGAAGAUUAGGCGGAAACAAUGGCUCGUAACACUUCAUGAGAUCUUCUAGUUCAUAGUUAGUAUGCCACCAUGGUCUCUUCCCAGUGUACAUCUCCAACACAACACAUCCCAACGACCAUAAGUCAAGUCCUUUCCCUAUCUCCCCGUGAGAGAUAGACUCCGGCGACAUAUAGAUCGGUGUUCCCGCAUACGAUUUAAGAGGAUGCCACCACGUAGUGUCUCCAUCUCUUUUCGACAACCCAAAAUCAGAAAUCUUCAAUUUGAGAUCGCAGACAGAACCAGGGAAAACAAGGAUGUUCUCGGGUUUGAGAUCGCAGUGAACAUAGCCGUGUCUGUGAAUUGUGGCUAAACCCUCGAGAAGCAUACGAGUAAACUUUCUGAUCAUCGGAUCAGGCAAUUUUUUGUCGUUGAAUCGGUCCAUGAAAUCGCUCAAGCUUCCUCCGGCUGCGUACUCCAUAGGAAUCGUGUACUCUACGUAACCCUUGUCGUUAAGUCUCUGUUCUACUCCGCUACCGUAGCAUUGGACGAUUCUCGAGCAACCCUUGAAUUUAGACAGAAUCUGAAACUCUUCGUAGAGAGACUUAGCAUCGUCAGAGGUUUUCACGGCGGCGUAGAGAGUCUCAACGUCGCAUCGUCUUUUAUAACUGAAAAGGCUCACCGAUCCAAACGAACCUUCCCCCAGAUACCUUUCGAACUCCAUUGCAAAUAGAACGAUUGAUUCUUUUGAUAGCUUUUGGCAACAAAACCCUAAUUGACUGAAAUAUCUGAGAAUUUGUAAUAGCUUGGAAACCAAAUCUCAAGUUGUUUCUGAAUAAAUAUAACAUCAGAUAAUUACGAGAAUUUAUAUUUAUCCCAACAUUUUAAAUUGGUUUAAGGUCUAUCAUUUAUCCCAACUAUUUUAAAUUGGUUUAAGGUCUAGCAUUUAUCCUAGUUUCAGACGAAAGUGACUUUAUAACUUUAUUUGCUUUCAUAAGAACAAAACAAAACUCAUCUUGUAUACAUUUUGAGAGCUAACGGUAUGAUUCCAGAAUUU